GACGAACCGUGCGAACGUUAUUCGGAAUCAUCGUGGGCUUAAAGCGCGUGUAGGCGGGUCGGCACGUCGGUCGGCUGAAACUCCCCCGGCUCAACCGGGAAGGGCGCCGAUACGACCGACCUGGAGGAACGUAGGGGGAGCUGGAACUUCCGGUGGAGCGGUGAAAUGCGUUGAGAUCGGAAGGAACGCCCGUGGCGAAAGGCGAGCUCCUGGACGUUUUCUGACGCUGAGGACGGCGAAAGCCAGGGGAGCCGAACGGG
RNAcentral lists this ribosomal RNA (260 nucleotides) under uncultured bacterium. RNAcentral's name for it is "partial 16S ribosomal RNA". It matches the Rfam family "Bacterial small subunit ribosomal RNA", at positions 524 to 776 of the family's 1533-position model. The record is from RNAcentral.